Molecule: long non-coding RNA, 583 nt
Organism: Chinchilla lanigera (long-tailed chinchilla)
Lineage: Eukaryota; Metazoa; Chordata; Mammalia; Rodentia; Chinchillidae
Exons: 2
Source: RefSeq, a predicted model, not a curated record
AAAGCCCCCAACAGUAACCAUGUCACUGCCUGAACGUUGGGCUGUUUUGAAAUUUCGUCCACCAGAUUAAUAAAUCCACUACCCUUAAUCUCAGUCUCCUGCAAAAUCUCAGGACAUGAGCUCAAUGCAGACAAAUUUUCUGCCAGAGUAUAACACACAUGGUCUCAAGUGCAACUGCCAGUGGAGUCCUUCUUCCUCACUGAACCCUCCGGAGCCUGGGGUCUACUAUUCCCGUUUCUAUUCCGGUCAUCUGAGCUCUGACUAGAGCCUCCCAUCAAGCUUGGCUUACAGCAUUUCAGGACUUCUACGGCAUCUUCACAUCUUUUCCAAGCACUUUCCAGGAACAGGUUUCCUGAUAAUCCAGAAUCAGCCCACCUGCCCUUCAGUGGAUGAUGGCUAGACAAAUGACAUCACAUCUACACAACGGAAUAUUACUCAGUAAUGGAAAGGAACAAACUAUAUGUACACACAACUUGGAUGAAUGUCCAGAAAUUAUACUGCGCUAAAGAAGCCAACCCCUCCAAAUAUGAUUCUAUCCAUAAAACAUGUUUGAAAGAAUAAAUAUUAGCAAAUGCAAGACAGA